Molecule: non-coding RNA, 21 nt
Filed under: Arabidopsis thaliana (thale cress)
Lineage: Eukaryota; Viridiplantae; Streptophyta; Magnoliopsida; Brassicales; Brassicaceae
Source: RNAcentral
UCCCUGCCCUUUGUACACACC